RNAcentral lists this ribosomal RNA (1369 nucleotides) under uncultured bacterium. Its description in RNAcentral is "bacterial SSU rRNA". It matches the Rfam family "Bacterial small subunit ribosomal RNA", at positions 28 to 1381 of the family's 1533-position model. The record is from RNAcentral.
GACGAACGCUGGCGGCGUGCCUAAUACAUGCAAGUAGAACGCUGAAGAGAGGAGCUUGCUCUUCUUGGAUGAGUUGCGAACGGGUGAGUAACGCGUAGGUAACCUGCCUUGUAGCGGGGGAUAACUGUUGGAAACGAUAGCUAAUACCGCAUAACAAUGGAUGACCCAUGUCAUUUAUUUGAAAGGGGCAAAUGCUCCACUACAAGAUGGACCUGCGUUGUAUUAGCUAGUAGGUGAGGUAACGGCUCACCUAGGCGACGAUACAUAGCCGACCUGAGAGGGUGAUCGGCCACACUGGGACUGAGACACGGCCCAGACUCCUACGGGAGGCAGCAGUAGGGAAUCUUCGGCAAUGGGGGCAACCCUGACCGAGCAACGCCGCGUGAGUGAAGAAGGUUUUCGGAUCGUAAAGCUCUGUUGUAAGUCAAGAACGAGUGUGAGAGUGGAAAGUUCACACUGUGACGGUAGCUUACCAGAAAGGGACGGCUAACUACGUGCCAGCAGCCGCGGUGAUACGUAAGUCCCGAGCGUUGUCCGGAUUUAUUGGGCGUAAAGCGAGCGCAAGCGGUUUGAUAAGUCUGAAGUUUAAGGCUGUGGCUCAACCAUAGUUCGCUUUGGAAGCUGUCAAACUUGAGUGCAGAAGGGGAGAGUGGAAUUCCAUGUGUAGCGGUGAAAUGCGUAGAUAUAUGGAGGAACACCGGUGGCGAAAGCGGCUCUCUGGUCUGUAACUGACGCUGAGGCUCGAAAGCGUGGGGAGCGAACAGGAUUAGAUACCCUGGUAGUCCACGCCGUAAACGAUGAGUGCUAGGUGUUGGAUCCUUUCCGGGAUUCAGUGCCGCAGCUAACGCAUUAAGCACUCCGCCUGGGGAGUACGACCGCAAGGUUGAAACUCAAAGGAAUUGACGGGGGCCCGCACAAGCGGUGGAGCAUGUGGUUUAAUUCGAAGCAACGCGAAGAACCUUACCAGGUCUUGACAUCCCGAUGCUAUUUCUAGAGAUAGAAAGUUACUUCGGUACAUCGGUGACAGGUGGUGCAUGGUUGUCGUCAGCUCGUGUCGUGAGAUGUUGGGUUAAGUCCCGCAACGAGCGCAACCCCUAUUGUUAGUUGCCAUCAUUCAGUUGGGCACUCUAGCGAGACUGCCGGUAAUAAACCGGAGGAAGGUGGGGAUGACGUCAAAUCAUCAUGCCCCUUAUGACCUGGGCUACACACGUGCUACAAUGGUUGGUACAACGAGUUGCGAGUCGGUGACGGCAAGCUAAUCUCUUAAAGCCAAUCUCAGUUCGGAUUGUAGGCUGCAACUCGCCUACAUGAAGUCGGAAUCGCUAGUAAUCGCGGAUCAGCACGCCGCGGUGAAUACGUUCCCGGGCCU